AUUGAACGCUGGCGGCAUGCUUUACACAUGCAAGUCGAACGGUAACAGGCCUUCGGGUGCUGACGAGUGGCGAACGGGUGAGUAAUGCAUCGGAACGUACCCAGAGGUGGGGGAUAACGCAGCGAAAGCUGUGCUAAUACCGCAUGUGAUCUGAGGAUGAAAGCGGGGGACCGCGCAGCAAUGUUUGGCCUCGCGCCUUUGGAGCGGCCGAUGUCGGAUUAGCUAGUUGGUGGGGUAAAGGCCUACCAAGGCGACGAUCCGUAGCUGGUCUGAGAGGACGACCAGCCACACUGGGACUGAGACACGGCCCAGACUCCUACGGGAGGCAGCAGUGGGGAAUUUUGGACAAUGGGCGCAAGCCUGAUCCAGCAAUGCCGCGUGCGGGAAGAAGGCCUUCGGGUUGUAAAGCGCUUUUGGCAGGAACGAAACGGUGUCCGCUAAUACCGGGCGCUAAUGACGGUACCUGCAGAAUAAGCACCGGCUAACUACGUG
This 492-nucleotide ribosomal RNA is filed under the name uncultured bacterium. RNAcentral describes it as "partial 16S ribosomal RNA". It matches the Rfam family "Bacterial small subunit ribosomal RNA", at positions 29 to 507 of the family's 1533-position model. The record is from RNAcentral.